Molecule: ribosomal RNA, 253 nt
Filed under: uncultured bacterium
Lineage: Bacteria
Description: partial 16S ribosomal RNA
Rfam family: Bacterial small subunit ribosomal RNA
Source: RNAcentral
GACGAACUGUCCUAACGUUGUUCGGAAUCACUGGGCUUAAAGGGCGCGUAGGCGGUCCGACAAGUCAGGGGUGAAAUCCUGGAGCUCAACUCCAGAACUGCCUUCGAUACUGGGAGACUUGAGUUCGGGAGAGGUGAGUGGAACUGCGAGUGUAGAGGUGAAAUUCGUAGAUAUUCGCAAGAACACCAGUGGCGAAGGCGGCUCACUGGCCCGAUACUGACGCUGAGGUGCGAAAGCGUGGGGAGCAAACAGG